RNAcentral lists this ribosomal RNA (253 nucleotides) under uncultured bacterium. Its description in RNAcentral is "partial 16S ribosomal RNA". It matches the Rfam family "Bacterial small subunit ribosomal RNA", at positions 524 to 776 of the family's 1533-position model. The record is from RNAcentral.
GACGAACCGAGCGAACGUUGUUCGGAAUCACUGGGCUUAAAGGGCGCGUAGGCGGUUGCUCAAGUCCGUGGUGAAAUCCUCCGGCUCAACCGGAGAACUGCCUCGGAUACUGGGCGCCUCGAGGGUGGUAGGGGUAUGCGGAACUAUCGGUGGAGCGGUGAAAUGCGUUGAUAUCGAUAGGAACUCCGGUGGCGAAGGCGGCAUACUGGACCACCUCUGACGCUGAGGCGCGAAAGCCAGGGGAGCAAACGGG